Molecule: long non-coding RNA, 448 nt
Filed under: Fragaria vesca (wild strawberry)
Lineage: Eukaryota; Viridiplantae; Streptophyta; Magnoliopsida; Rosales; Rosaceae
Description: long non-coding RNA (FVES_LNC001220)
Source: RNAcentral
UGAAAGCGGUGAAGAUUACUGGAUUGUAAAGAAUUCAUGGGGAACUAGUUGGGGGAUGGAAGGAUACUUUUACCUCAGAAGGAAUACCGAUUUGCCAUAUGGGGUUUGUGCAGUCAAUGCCAUGGCUUCAUAUCCUACCAAAGAGUCAUCUGCACCCACUCCUUAUCCAUCUCCAACUCCUCCACCACCUCCUACACCUGUCUCUCCACCACCCCCACCAGUGACACCGCCACCACCAACUCCAGUGACACCACCACCACCCUCUCCUUCUCCAAGCCAAUGCGGAGACUUCUCCUAUUGUCCAGCUGAUGAGACAUGUUGUUGCCUCUAUGAAUUCUUUGACUACUGCUUCAUCUAUGGUUGCUGUCCAUAUGAGAAUGCGGUUUGCUGCACUGGAACCGAAUACUGCUGUCCAAGUGAUUACCCCAUUUGCGAUGUUGAGGAGGGC